This is a long non-coding RNA of Daktulosphaira vitifoliae (grape phylloxera), 791 nucleotides long. RefSeq lists it as uncharacterized. NCBI's taxonomy places the organism in Eukaryota, Metazoa, Arthropoda, Insecta, Hemiptera, Phylloxeridae. The record is from RefSeq and is a predicted model, not a curated record. The transcript is spliced from 3 exons.
GUACAAUGUGUUCUCACGAUAACGUUUAUUGUUUUUAAAAAUAGAAAACUCGUCUGCAGUUGAUUUUUUUUUUGAACUCCAGUUCCUAUUUGCUAAUUUUAUGAAAAUAAUGGUUAGAAAGUAUUUCGAGAAAAUUACGUCGAAAAUUGCCAACAAUUAGGUAUAUUGAAUUGCUAUAAUUUGACUGUGAUCAUACUUUUCAACUAUCAACACACUUAAAAUUAUGGCACCAAUGAUCCUAAUCGUUUUGUUUUUAUCGAUUGCAAUACCGUGAUAAGAUAAUAAUGCCCAUAAUACUUAAAGAAACUAAUGACUCAGAAAUUAGUCAUAUUUUCAAGUUAUGUAACUUUUUUUUAAAAGAAAACAAACAUUGCAUAGAAUCUUUAAAAGAAAAUAACAUUGUUUAUAAUUUAUUAAGUAUUUUAUGAUGCAAUAACAAUAAGGUAUACAAAGUAAUUUUAAUUGCAGCCGAAUAUCUGCUUAGUUUAAAAUUACUUAAAAAUAUAUACUUAAUAAUAUAUAAUAUGUGCUCCAUAUGUAUCUAAUAUAAUAAAUUACAACUUAGAUUAGAAAACAUGUCCAUGAUGCUUUUAAAUUGUUGUUUUUAGCAUUCACCAUUAAUACAAAGAGGAAAAGUAAUAACGAAAAAUUAAGAACCAUUGCUACCAAACUUCCAAUUAAAUUGUUAAAAUAUUGGAUGUGUUAUGCUGGUAUUAAAAUUAAUAUUAUUAUCUGUGAACGAAUACUACCAACGAACUAAGGAUUCUAAAUUUCGUGAUUCUAAAUAGAAA